GAUGAACGCUGGCGGCGUGCCUAAUACAUGCAAGUCGAGCGAACAGACGAGGAGCUUGCUCCUCUGACGUUAGCGGCGGACGGGUGAGUAACACGUGGAUAACCUACCUAUAAGACUGGGAUAACUUCGGGAAACCGGAGCUAAUACCGGAUAAUAUAUUGAACCGCAUGGUUCAAUAGUGAAAGACGGUUUUGCUGUCACUUAUAGAUGGAUCCGCGCCGCAUUAGCUAGUUGGUAAGGUAACGGCUUACCAAGGCAACGAUGCGUAGCCGACCUGAGAGGGUGAUCGGCCACACUGGAACGGAGACACGGUCCAGACGCCUGCGGGAGGCAGCAGUAGGGAAUCGUCCGCAAUGGGCGAAAGCCUGACGGAGCAACGCCGCGUGAGUGAUGAAGGUCUUCGGAUCGUAAAACUCUGUUAUUAGGGAAGAACAAAUGUGUAAGUAACUAUGCACGUCUUGACGGUACCUAAUCAGAAAGCCACGGCUAACUACGUG
RNAcentral lists this ribosomal RNA (497 nucleotides) under uncultured bacterium. RNAcentral's name for it is "partial 16S ribosomal RNA". It matches the Rfam family "Bacterial small subunit ribosomal RNA", at positions 28 to 507 of the family's 1533-position model. The record is from RNAcentral.